Molecule: transfer RNA, 75 nt
Filed under: Mesorhizobium sp. L103C119B0
Lineage: Bacteria; Pseudomonadati; Pseudomonadota; Alphaproteobacteria; Hyphomicrobiales; Phyllobacteriaceae
Description: tRNA-Phe
Source: RNAcentral
GCGCACGAUUCUUUGGACUGAGCAGCGGACUGAAAAUCCGCGUGUCGGUGGUUCGAAUCCGCUCUCUGGGCACCA